UGAAUACGAGACGCUAAGGCGUCGAAGUAGUGUAUGUCAUACUUCCAAGAAAAGCUUGCACUGUCAUAGAUAAAAAACGCCUGUACCAUACCGACACAGGUGGGUAGGUAGAGUAUACUAAGGGGCGCGAGAUAACUCCCUCUAAGGAACUCGGCAAAAUAACUCCGUAACUUCGGGAGAAGGAGUGCCUUAUUCGUAAGGUUGCAAUAACAAGAUCCAAGCAACUGUUUAUCAAAAACACAGGUCUCCGCUAAGUCGUAAGACGAUGUAUGGGGGCUGACGCCUGCCCAGUGCCAGAAGGUUAAAGAAGUUGGUUAGCAAUUGCGAAGCUGAUAACUGAAGCCCUGGUGAACGGCGGCCGUAACAAUAACGGUCCUAAGGUAGCGAAAUUCCUUGUCGGGUAAGUUCCGACCCGCACGAAAGGCGUAAUGAUUUGGAUACUGUCUCGGAGAGGGGCUCGGUGAAAUAGACUUGUCUGUGAAGAUGCGGACUACCUGCACCAGGACAGAAAGACCCUAUGAAGCUUUACUGUAACUUGAAAUUGAAAUUGGACUUUAUUCGCGCAGUAUAGGUGGGAGGCGUUGAUUAUAAUCUUGUGGGAUUAUUGGAGCCAUCAGUGAGAUACCACUCUUGUAAUGUUAGAUUUCUAACUUUGAAUCAUUAUCUGGUCAAAGAACAGUUUCAGGCGGGCAGUCUGACUGGGGCGGUCGCCUCCUAAACGGUAACGGAGGCGUACAAAGGUUUCCUCUGAACGGUUAGAAAUCGUAUCUAGAGUGUAAAGGCAUAAGGAAGCUUGACUGUGAGACCUACAAGUCGAGCAGGGACGAAAGUCGGUCUUAGUGAUCUGACGGUACUGAGUGGAAAGGCCGUCACUCAACGGAUAAAAGUUACUCUAGGAUAACAGGCUGAUCUCCCCCAAGAGUUCACAUCGACGGGGAGGUUUGGCACCUCGAUGUCGGCUCACCGCAUCCUGGGGCGGUAGUACGUCCCAAGGGUUGGGCUGUUCGCCCAUGAAAGCGGUACGCGAGCUGGGUUCAGAACGUCGUGAGACAGUUCGGUCCAUAUCCGGUGUAGGCGUUAGAAUAUUGAGAGGAGCCUUCCUUAGUACGAGAGGACCGAGAAGGACAUACCUCUGGUGUACCAGUUAUCGUGCCAACGGUAAACGCUGGGUAGCUAUGUAUGGAGUGGAUAACCGCUGAAAGCAUCUAAGUGGGAAGCCCACCUCAAGAUAAGUAUUCUCA
RNAcentral lists this ribosomal RNA (1241 nucleotides) under metagenome. RNAcentral's name for it is "bacterial LSU rRNA". It matches the Rfam family "Bacterial large subunit ribosomal RNA", at positions 1564 to 2816 of the family's 2925-position model. The record is from RNAcentral.